UCACUCCUCUACACAAUUUAUC
This 22-nucleotide non-coding RNA is filed under the name Arabidopsis thaliana (thale cress). The record is from RNAcentral. Lineage: Eukaryota; Viridiplantae; Streptophyta; Magnoliopsida; Brassicales; Brassicaceae.